GACGAACGCUGGCGGCGUGCUUAACACAUGCAAGUCGAGCGAUGAAUUUCCUUCGGGAAUGGAUUAGCGGCGGACGGGGGAGUAACACGUGGGUAACCUGCCUCAUAGGGGGGGAUAGCCUUUCGCAAGGAAGAUUAAUACCGCAUAAGGUUGUAGUGCCGCAUGGCAUAGCAAUUAUAGGAGUAAUCCGCUAUGAGAUGGACCCGCGGCUCAUUAGCUAGUUGGGGAGGUAACGGCUCACCAAGUGGACGAUGCUGAGCCGACCUGAGAGGGUGAUCGGCCACAUUGGGACUGAGACACGGCCCAGACUCCUACGGGAGGCAGCAGUGGGGAAUAUUGCACAAUGGGGGAAACCCUGAUGCAGCAACGCCGCGUGAGUGAUGACGGUCUUCGGAUUGUAAAGCUCUGUCUUCAGGGACGAUAAUGACGGUACCUGAGGAGGAAGCCACGGCUAACUACGUGCCAGCAGCCGCCGUAA
RNAcentral lists this ribosomal RNA (478 nucleotides) under uncultured bacterium. RNAcentral describes it as "partial 16S ribosomal RNA". It matches the Rfam family "Bacterial small subunit ribosomal RNA", at positions 28 to 523 of the family's 1533-position model. The record is from RNAcentral.